UUGGGGUGGUCUAUAUGGCUGCAGAGAUUGGUAUGGAGGGUUGGGUUUAGGUUGAUUGCAGCUAGGCACUCAUUGAUUGGAGGGUCUCCUUUGAUUCCCUCCCCACUUAAGAUUGGGUUGAUCUCACCACCCUGGGUUAUAGGUGUUAGAGUACGGAUUAUACCAUCUAUGUCUUAGGUAAUUUACUUCAGCAUGAGUAUUGUCAUAGAGGUCACCCCAACUUGCGC
Molecule: long non-coding RNA, 227 nt
Filed under: Gossypium barbadense (sea-island cotton)
Lineage: Eukaryota; Viridiplantae; Streptophyta; Magnoliopsida; Malvales; Malvaceae
Description: long non-coding RNA (GBAR_LNC015031)
Source: RNAcentral